This 207-nucleotide ribosomal RNA is filed under the name uncultured Smithella sp. RNAcentral's name for it is "partial 16S ribosomal RNA". It matches the Rfam family "Bacterial small subunit ribosomal RNA", at positions 568 to 774 of the family's 1533-position model. Lineage: Bacteria; Pseudomonadati; Thermodesulfobacteriota; Syntrophia; Syntrophales; Smithellaceae. The record is from RNAcentral.
CGUGUAGGCGGCUGGAUAAGUCAGAUGUGAAAGCCCUGGGCUUAACCCAGGAAGUGCAUUUGAAACUGUUCAGCUUGAGUAAGGGAGAGGAAAGUGGAAUUCCUGAUGUAGAGGUGAAAUUCGUAGAUAUCAGGAGGAACACCGGUGGCGAAGGCGACUUUCUGGCCCUAUACUGACGCUGAGACGCGAGAGCGUGGGUAGCAAACA